GGUUCAGGAGGCUGGAAACCAUCAAGCCCUGAUGAAUGCAAAUGGGCGCUAUGCUCAACUCAUCAGCAACUACCAGAUGGAAGAGUCUAAAAAGCAGAUGGAAGAUGAAGUGAUGUCCCUGGAUCCUGCCAACUUGAAUGAAUCUGAGCUCAGACCUGGUGAAGAUGUUGGAAUGAUGAACAACGAUCAUUCUUUUGGAUGAAGCCACAGCCUCCACAGAUCCAGAAACAGAUGCUCUGAUCCAAAAGACAGUCAAAGAGGGCUUUCAAGACAGCACUGUGCUCACCUAGCACAUCGCAUCAACACAGUGAUGAAUGCAGAUCGUAUUCUAGUCAUGAACA
This is a non-coding RNA of Maylandia zebra (zebra mbuna), 341 nucleotides long. NCBI's taxonomy places the organism in Eukaryota, Metazoa, Chordata, Actinopteri, Cichliformes, Cichlidae. The record is from RefSeq and is a predicted model, not a curated record.